GAGCUGAGGGUCAAUAUCACUACCCUGACUUGAGCAUUAACUUGCACCUUGAACUCAGUAAGUGCUACUUGUUGGGGCAGUUUUACUUGA
This 90-nucleotide small RNA is filed under the name Xyrichtys novacula (pearly razorfish). The stretch from base 16 to 85 matches the Rfam family "miR-430 microRNA precursor family". Lineage: Eukaryota; Metazoa; Chordata; Actinopteri; Labriformes; Labridae. The record is from RNAcentral.